This 124-nucleotide small RNA is filed under the name Escherichia coli. Its description in RNAcentral is "partial RtT sRNA". It matches the Rfam family "RtT RNA". Rfam says of the family: This family represents a bacterial cis-regulatory element known as RtT RNA. The exact function of RtT is unknown although it is thought that it may be involved in changing the cellular response in relation to amino acid starvation. Lineage: Bacteria; Pseudomonadati; Pseudomonadota; Gammaproteobacteria; Enterobacterales; Enterobacteriaceae. The record is from RNAcentral.
AUUCUGCCCAUGCGGGGAAGGAUGAGAAGCUUCGACUAAGGUUCGGCUCGAGCGUCAGCGAGAGAGCGUUGCCGCAGGCAACGACCCGAAGGGCGAAGCGCGCAGCGCUGAGUAAUCCUUCCCC